RNAcentral lists this long non-coding RNA (2350 nucleotides) under Cricetulus griseus (Chinese hamster). Its description in RNAcentral is "lncRNA (ENSCGRG00015029072.1)". The record is from RNAcentral. Lineage: Eukaryota; Metazoa; Chordata; Mammalia; Rodentia; Cricetidae.
CUCAGCUCCUGCUCCAGCGGCACAAUGUGAUCCACCAGCUAGGAGGGACGCCAAUAAGGCGUCCGAUAAGAUAAGUCUUAUAAAAUAUAUAGAUGUAUGAUAAUUGAGACUGAGCUAACAGAUGAGAAUCCUAGUCAUUGGCCAAGCAGCAAUGUAACUAAUACAAGUCUGUGUAUUCAUUUGGGCCUAACUCAGGCGGGCGGCUGGCAUAAAGCUCACACGUGGCAGUGGGGCUCAGGCGGCAUUUGGCGGAAAGAUUUAUCAUAACAUCUAUGUACCUACUUAUCUAUCAUCGCUAUAUAUAUAUAUCAUCUAUAUCAUCUAUCUAUCUACCUAUCUAUGUCUAUCUAUCUAUCCAUGUCUAUCUAUCUAUCUAUCUAUCUAUCUAUCUAUCUAUCUAUCUGCUUUUGAGAUGUAGAAGAGAGGGGAGAAGAGAAAAGCACAAGAGAGCUGCUUGGGGACCAAACCAGGAGAUGGCCACCAUUGUGUCAUCUGCAAGCGUGGGGCAUCGUGUGAUCUCCUCUACAGUGCAUUGCAAACCCUUUAGGGGCUACCCUUUGUCUGCUCCCUGUGAAACACCCCCGCCCCAGCCUGCUGUCUAUCAGGUAGAAUUUCCUGCACACUGGAUCCAACAUUCAGAGAGGUGGAAAGGCCACAUAUUUUAAUUAUCCUCUGUUAAGCAAUUUCCCUCCCUAUCAAGUCCAUUUUAUGCAUGCUGCUCACGGGUUUCAGUAGUCAUAAUGACUCUUUUGUUUUUCAGGAGGGAAUGUCAAAAUUAAGAGAACUGUAAAACCAUUCACCACCCAUUAUUUUUAUAAUUAGUAGGGGAUGGGCUGAGGGCAAGAUCAAGCCUCCAUAUUUUAGCAUCUUUUCUUUGGAUUUUUUUUUUUUUUUUCAGAUGACAAGGCUGCAUCGAGUCUCAUCUGACAAGCUAUUGUCAGGCAGAUGUCUUCAUUAAGUCUGUGUAGGAAGACGAGCACAUCAAAGGGAAGAAGCCAGCAUUUUCCUUCUGGAACUCUGCAUAGGAAUCAUAUAUUUUGGAAGAUGAUCUAAAGAAAACUAGUCUUCUGUUGAGCUGCUGCUGCUGCUGGUGGCGGUGGUCGAGGGCCAGGCUUAGCCAAGGAUAGUGAUGCGUGGACCAGGCAGCCCUAAACUAGAAGAGGGGGAGGAGCUACACUGAAGGCGUGCACCAUUUGAGGCUCCCCAGGACACACAGAAGUGGACAAGGAACAUACUUGCUGCCACACUGGUCCUAUUUGAUGUACCCCGUGAGGAAGUUGUUCACUCUAAGUUCAUUGCUGCUCUGGGACUGCUGCGUUUCAUUACAUUUUUCUUCAGCAAAGACAUGACUAUGGUUAAUCCUCACCAUUGAAUUGAUUGGACUUGGAAUCACUUAGAAGACACCUCUGGGGUUGUCUAUGACCUUUCUUAAUGAUGCUUUGUACCAUCAAGAAGCACCGAGCCUUAAGGAAGUGCCUCUCCUCUUAAUAUGAAAAGGCUUUUGAAGACUGCAGAGGCUGGGAAGACUGGAGCUGGUGGGAGUUCCUAAUUGAUAAUAUACCCCACAGGACACUUGUCUUUUUAAGGAUAGCAUUUCAGCAGCUAUCACCAGGGAGUGGUGGUGGAUGAUUUCGGAAGAGAAACCAAUGCCUUUAAAACUCUGAGUACUUAACAGUUGUAAAAUCAUGCCAUAGGCAGAAGAGAUGGCACACUCCUCUAGAUACAUCAUCACCCUGAAGUCUGAGGCAGGGCGGGUCUAAGUUGGAGGUCAGUCUAAGGAACACAGCAAGCCUGAAGCCAGCCUGAGCCAUGCAGAUCCUGCCUCAUAAACAAAAACAAGCAGGACAACAACAAAUGCACACAAAACUAAAAAAAAAAUUAUAAAGCAAAAAGGAGAGAAAUUAUUUGUUCAUAUGUCUCUUUUUGUACUUGCUCACUCAAGGGGGUAAUUAAUGUGUGGAGGCAGACAUCCAUGGCUCUGGGGUGAUCAACACAAGUUCGAAGCUAACCUGGGCUACAGGAAGUUCUAGAACUAUUAGUGGGCAGAGCAAGACCUUGUCUGAAUAGAUGAUAGACAGAUAGCUGAUAGAUAUACAUGAUUGAUAGAUGAUGAUGAUAGAUAGAUGAUAGAUGAUAGACAGAUGGCCUGGAGAGAUGGCUUUCAGUGGACAAAUGCAUUUGCUGAGAAAGCCUGAUGAUUUGGGUUCACUCCUCAUAAUCCAUAUGGUGGAAGAAAAAUGACUCCCAUAAGUUGUUCUCUGAUUUUCAGAUAUGUGUGCUGUGGCAUGUGUGCCCACACAUACAUGCACACAAAUAAAUGUUAUUAUUUUUUCUUCUUAUGAAGACCUAC